Molecule: ribosomal RNA, 465 nt
Filed under: uncultured bacterium
Lineage: Bacteria
Description: partial 16S ribosomal RNA
Rfam family: Bacterial small subunit ribosomal RNA
Source: RNAcentral
GACGAACGCUGGCGGCGUGCUUAACACAUGCAAGUCGAACGGAAAGGCCCUGCUUGCUGGGUACUCGAGUGGCGAACGGGUGAGUAACACGUGGGUGAUCUGCCCUGCACUUCGGGAUAAGCCUGGGAAACUGGGUCUAAUACCGGAUAGGAGCCAUUUUUAGUGUGAUGGUUGGAGAGUUUUUUCGGUUUCGGAUUAGCUCGCGGCCUAUCCGCUUGUUGGUGGGGUAAUGGCCUACCAAGGCGGCGACGGGUAGCCGGCCUGGGAGGGUGGACGGCCACAGUGGGACUGAGAUACGGCCCCGACUCCGACGGGAGGCAGCGGUGGGGAAGAUUGCGCAAGGGGCGCAAGCCUGAUGCAGCGACGCCGCGUGGGGGAUGACGGCCUUCGGGUUGGAAACGCCUUUCGCUAGGGACGAAGCUUUUUGUGACGGUACCUAGAUAAGAAGCACCGGCUAACUACGUG